AGUGAACGCUGGCGGUAGGCCUAACACAUGCAAGUCGAACGGCAGCACAGUAAGAGCUUGCUCUUACGGGUGGCGAGUGGCGGACGGGUGAGGAAUACAUCGGAAUCUACUUUUUCGUGGGGGAUAACGUAGGGAAACUUACGCUAAUACCGCAUACGACCUACGGGUGAAAGCAGGGGAUCUUCGGACCUUGCGCGAUUGAAUGCGCCGAUGUCGGAUUAGCUAGUUGGCGGGGUAAAGGCCCACCAAGGCGACGAUCCGUAGCCGGUCUGAGAGGAUGGUCGGCCGCACUGGAACUGGGACACGGUCCAGACUCCUACGGGAGGCAGCAGUGGGGAAUAUUGGACAAUGGGCGCAAGCCUGAUCCAGCCAUACCGCGUGGGUGAAGAAGGCCUUCGGGUUGUAAAGCCCUUUUGUUGGGAAAGAAAAGCAGCAGGUUAAUACCCCGCUGUUCUGACGGUACCCAAAGAAUAAGCACCGGCUAACUUCGUG
Molecule: ribosomal RNA, 492 nt
Filed under: uncultured bacterium
Lineage: Bacteria
Description: partial 16S ribosomal RNA
Rfam family: Bacterial small subunit ribosomal RNA
Source: RNAcentral